UGUGAGGGUGAUCUGGCUGCAACAUCUGUCACCCUAUUGAAUGCUAGCGUUGAUUCAGUUGAUCUGGCCGAAUAGGCGGGUGUCCCCUUCCUCCCUCACCGN
Molecule: small RNA, 102 nt
Filed under: Spermophilus dauricus (Daurian ground squirrel)
Lineage: Eukaryota; Metazoa; Chordata; Mammalia; Rodentia; Sciuridae
Description: 7SK RNA (ENSSDAG00000020991.1)
Rfam family: 7SK RNA
About the family: 7SK was discovered as an abundant small nuclear RNA in the mid-70s but a possible function has only recently been suggested. Two independent studies have found that 7SK RNA binds the CDK9/cyclin T complex (known as elongation factor P-TEFb).
Source: Rfam by way of RNAcentral